UUGGNNGUANGGGNUCGCAGGCGGUUUCUUAAGUCUGAUGUGAAAGCCCCCGGCUCAACCGGGGNGGGUCAUUGGAAACUGGGGAACUUGAGUGCAGAAGAGGAGAGUGGAAUUCCACGUGUAGCGGUGAAAUGCGUAGAGAUGUGGAGGAACACCAGUGGCGAAGGCGACUCUCUGGUCUGUAACUGACGCUGAGGAGCGAAAGCGUGGGGAGCGAACAGGAUUAGAUACCCUGGUAGUCCACGCCGUAAACGAUGAGUGCUAAGUGUUAGGGGGUUUCCGCCCCUUAGUGCUGCAGCUAACGCAUUAAGCACUCCGCCUGGGGAGUACGGUCGCAAGACUGAAACUCAAAGGAAUUGACGGGGGCCCGCACAAGCGGUGGAGCAUGUGGUUUAAUUCGAAGCAACGCGAAGAACCUUACCAGGUCUUGACAUCCUCUGACAAUCCUAGAGAUAGGACGUCCCCUUCGGGGGCAGAGUGACAGGUGGUGCAUGGUUGUCGUCAGCUCGUGUCGUGAGAUGUUGGGUUAAGUCCCGCAACGAGCGCAACCCUUGAUCUUAGUUGCCAGCAUUCAGUUGGGCACUCUAAGGNGACUGNCGGUGACAAACCGGAGGAAGGNGGGGAUGACGUCAAAUCAUCAUGCCCCUUAUGACCUGGGCUACACACGUGCUACNAUGGACAG
This 682-nucleotide ribosomal RNA is filed under the name uncultured Bacillus sp. Its description in RNAcentral is "bacterial SSU rRNA". It matches the Rfam family "Bacterial small subunit ribosomal RNA", at positions 555 to 1237 of the family's 1533-position model. Lineage: Bacteria; Bacillati; Bacillota; Bacilli; Caryophanales; Bacillaceae. The record is from RNAcentral.